CGGAAAGAUUAUGUGGAUCUCCACCGAACCACUGAACAGGAGAGGGAUAGUAUUGAACAUGAGGUUAUGGCAUUUAUCAAAGCAUGUAAAGAACAAAUUGAUUUUCUUAAAAAUAGCAUAAAUGAUNNNNNNNNNNNNACUAAGGGUUGGCUUGGCAUCAGAGGUGACAACUCCAAUACUGACACUGUAGCACACAAACAUGGGGUGGUUUUGAUUCUAAGUGAGAAACUCCAUUCAGUAACAG
This 244-nucleotide unclassified non-coding RNA is filed under the name Hevea brasiliensis (rubber tree). The record is from RNAcentral. Lineage: Eukaryota; Viridiplantae; Streptophyta; Magnoliopsida; Malpighiales; Euphorbiaceae.